RNAcentral lists this ribosomal RNA (496 nucleotides) under uncultured bacterium. RNAcentral describes it as "bacterial SSU rRNA". It matches the Rfam family "Bacterial small subunit ribosomal RNA", at positions 8 to 518 of the family's 1533-position model. The record is from RNAcentral.
AGAGUUGAUUCUGGCUCAGGACGAACGCUGGCGGCGUGCCUAACACAUGCAAGUCGAACGGAGCUAUUGAGCUUGCUCUUAGCUUAGUGGCGGACGGGUGAGUAACGCGUGAGAAACCUGCCCUUGAGUGGGGAAUAACACCGAGAAAUCGGUGCUAAUACCGCAUAAUGUCACGGGAUCGCAUGUUCUUGUGACCAAAGGAUUUAUUCGCUUAAGGAUGGUCUCGCGUCCGAUUAGUUAGUUGGUGAGGUAACGGCUCACCAAGACCGCGAUCGGUAGCCGAACUGAGAGGUUGAUCGGCCACAUUGGGACUGAGACACGGCCCAGACUCCUACGGGAGGCAGCAGUGGGGAAUAUUGGGCAAUGGGGGAAACCCUGAACCCCAGCAAUGCCGCGUGAAGGAUGAAGGUCUUCGGAUUGUAAACUUCUUUGAUUGGGGAAGAAUAAAUGACCUACCCAAAGAACAAGUCACGGCUAACUACGUGCCAGCCGCAGC